RNAcentral lists this ribosomal RNA (407 nucleotides) under Haemaphysalis flava. RNAcentral's name for it is "partial large subunit ribosomal RNA". Lineage: Eukaryota; Metazoa; Arthropoda; Arachnida; Ixodida; Ixodidae. The record is from RNAcentral.
UGUAGUAUUUUGACUAUACAAAGGUAUUGUAAUAAGACUUUAAUUGAGUGCUAAAAGAAUGGAGUUUCAAAAAAAGUCUAUCUUUAAUUCAAAAAUUGAAUUUAUUUUUAUUUGUGAAGAAACAAUAAUUAAAAUUAAGGACAAGAAGACCCUAAGAAUUUUUAAUUUUGUAUAUAUAUAUAUUUAUAUAUACAAAAUUUUAAUUGGGGCGAUUAAAAAAUAUAAUUAACUUUUAAUUUUAAAAAAUGAUCCAUUAUUAAUGAUUUAAUGUAAAAAAUACUCUAGGGAUAACAGCGUAAUAAUUUUAGAUAGAUCUUAUAGAAAAAAUAGUUUGCGACCUCGAUGUUGGAUUAGGAUUCUUUUUUAAUGAAGAAGUUAAAAUAAGAAGUUUGUUCAACUUUUAAAAU